CUCAAAAUGUUAUUCCUCUCAUUUUAUUCGAGAAACAACAUUUUGGGGG
This 49-nucleotide microRNA precursor is filed under the name Lotus japonicus. Its description in RNAcentral is "miR11101b stem-loop (lja-MIR11101b)". Lineage: Eukaryota; Viridiplantae; Streptophyta; Magnoliopsida; Fabales; Fabaceae. The record is from miRBase by way of RNAcentral.